AUACGUAGGGGGCGAGCGUUGUCCGGAAUUACUGGGCGUAAAGGGUGCGUAGGCGGCAUAUCAAGUCAGAUGUGAAAUACCACGGCUCAACUGUGGGGUUGCAUUUGAAACUGGUAUGCUUGAGUGCAGGAGAGGGAAGUGGAAUUUCUAGUGUAGCGGUGAAAUGCGUAGAGAUUAGGAAGAACACCAGUGGCGAAGGCGGCUUCCUGGACUGUAACUGACGCUGAGGCACGAAAGCGUGGGUAGCGAACAGGAUUAGAUACCCUGGUAGUCCACGCCGUAAACGAUGGAUACUAGGUGUAGGGGGUAUCGACCCCCUCUGUGCCGGAGUUAACGCAAUAAGUAUCCCGCCUGGGGAGUACGACCGCAAGGUUGAA
RNAcentral lists this ribosomal RNA (377 nucleotides) under uncultured bacterium. RNAcentral describes it as "bacterial SSU rRNA". It matches the Rfam family "Bacterial small subunit ribosomal RNA", at positions 523 to 898 of the family's 1533-position model. The record is from RNAcentral.